This 8893-nucleotide long non-coding RNA is filed under the name Salvia miltiorrhiza (redroot sage). Its description in RNAcentral is "long non-coding RNA (SMIL_LNC008194)". Lineage: Eukaryota; Viridiplantae; Streptophyta; Magnoliopsida; Lamiales; Lamiaceae. The record is from RNAcentral.
GAAGCAGACGAUCGAGAUCAUCUAUUCCGAAUUAAUUACUUAAUUAAUACUGAAUUACAUAAAAUUGCAGGAGCUUUUAGCCCGGAAAUCAGGCAAGAUAGCAAGGCAACUGCAGAAGAACCCGCACUACGACGAUCUCUGGCGCGACGUCAACACCGAUGAAGAAUCCAUGGAGCUACUUGCAAAAUUCUGCCAUGGCUAUGACAUCGACCUCUCACCGGAAAACGUGGUUCCCUUAGCUUGCGUAGCAAAAUCCCUCGACAUGACGGACACCCAUUGCCCCAACAAUCUGUUGAGCAAGACGGUGUCGUUUUUUGAAGAACACGUUAUGCAUAGCUGGGACAACUCCAUCAAAGCCAUCAAGUGCGCCGAGAGAGUGCUCAGGCAAGCGGAUGAGCUCGGCCUAUUGGACUGCUGCGUUGAGACGCUCAUCUUGAAGGCGCUCGAGGAUCCGCGUCUAUUGGGGGAGCCUUUGAUGAGGAACGAUGAUGAAAAUGAAGCUGAAGAUAAUUAUAUUAGGCCUAACACUAGGAGGAAACUCUUCGUCAUGGAAUGGAAAAACGAAGAUCUCACCACUCUCCCUUUGAAGCUUUAUGCGUCGAUCCUCAGAGCCAUGAUCCAGCGCCAAGUGCCGCCACAAUUUGUGGCGGCGAAUCUAUUCCGAUACGCCAAGAAUUGGAUACUGUGCAAGGAGGAGGUGAGAGGUGAGAGAGAGACGAUUGAGAUUUUGGUGAGGCUGAUUCCUCAGCAAACAGGGCUGCUUCCGUGCACGUUUCUGUGUGAAAUGCUUCGUUUGGCCAUUGUUGUUGAAGCUGAUGCGGAGUGCAGAAACGCGUUGGAGCUGAGGAUCGGGAUGCAGUUAGAGCAGGCGGAGACGAAGGAUCUUGUGAUGGCUUGUAGCCAUGGAUAUGAAAAAUACAAUGCGGAGUGCUUGAGAAGGAUCGUGAGCAAUUUCUACAGCAACGACAGCGUGGAUAACUUGGGAGCGCUGAGGUCGGUGGCGGAGCUGAUGGAGGAGUUCCUGGCAGAGAUCGCGGCGGACAUAGAUCUGAAGACGUCGACGUUUCUGCAGGUUGCUGAGCUGUCGGCUGCAGCGGCGGAGGGAGCUAAUCAGAGAAGCUGCGACGGAAUGUACAGGGCGGUGGACGUGUUCCUGGAUAAGCACAGGCAUUUGACGGAGUCGGAGAAGGAGGAUUUAUGCGGCAAGGUUUUGGACUGCAAUAGGCUGUCUGGUGAGGCACUGCAGCAUGCGGCCUCAAACGAGAGGCUGCCGCUGCGAGUGGUGAUGCACGCGCUGUUCGCAUCGCAGUUGAGGCUGCGGGAAGCGAUACCGAAAGUUGAAGGAGGUGGAGGUGAAGUAGAGGAGGAGGUGAGGGCGGAGAUGGAGAAGAUGGGGAGCAAAGUGUCGAAGCUAGAGAGAGAGUGCAACGUGAUUAAGAAAGAGAUGGCGAGAAAUUGUGUGAAGAGGGAAAAGGUGAGCGUGUGGAGGGAGAUGAAGAGGAAGUUCGGGUGCAUGACUACCACCCAUCACUGCGACUGUCAUGUCAAGAAGAAGAAGGUGCAUCCUAGAUGAUUCUUAUUGAUCUUCAUAUUUGUUAUAUUUUGGAUGAUACUUUCUUUAUUUUUUAUUACACAUUAAUUUUACUUUAAGUUUCCUUUAACAGAAAUGCUGCGUUGGAGAAUAUAAGGGCUAAAUUUCGUUCUAAAUCAUUUAUGAAAAGUACAUUUGUCAGAUAAUAUGUAUUUGAGUAAAUAUGAGUAUUUUUUUUUCUAAGGCAGGAGUAAAUGUAUACAUUGAGUAAAUAAAAUAUAAAUACUUCACUUCUGUUGUUCCGAAAAAUCAGUUAAAAUUGUUUAACAGCAAUAACAGAAAAGUUUGAAGUUGAGAUAAUACACAAAUCCGAAAUGAAAAAUGAAUGAGAAUUAGUUGAGGAAAAUGGGGAUGUUAAUAUAAAUCGAAAAUUGUUUCUCUUUUUGGGGUUGCAAUUUGCGCCGCAGCGUUUCCAUCUCUUUCUCCCCCAUCGUCUUCUAUUGUAGCAAAUGCUAAAUGCUACCAUCUCUCGAAACAACUGACACUCAAAUCUAGAUUAGUUCAGCAUCAUCGCUUACUCUCAAGUCAAAUACGCACCAACUCCCUCAACUGUAUAUAUCUCUCUACACGCAGUAAACCCUCUCAACUCAACAAUUCAAUUUGUUUGCGUUGCGCUACUCACUGCGUGAAAAGAUGCAGCAAAAUCUCGCUUCCAAAGCCAGGUAAAAUCAAUAAAUCAUGAACCAUAAAUGCAAUAAUUCGUGCUUUGAUUGUUAAAACUCAUCUUUUUACUUUGUUUUAAUUGCGGCUUUUUUUUUUCUUUUUGGUUUUUAAAAUAAAUAAAAAUAAAUUAAGUAUGAUUGAUUUAUUUUGGUCUGUAUAUCGAUUUCCUUUUGUGGUUGUGGAUAAUGUGAUUUUUUGGCGGGAAAAUGGCCAAACAUGGCUGAAAUUGGCUUUUAUAUAUACACUAGUACUAGUAUUGUAUCUGUGCGAUGCGCAACAUAAAUAAUAUAAAAAUUUUAUAUACACAAAGUGUUAAUUUAUCAGCUAAUUAAUAAUAUCGAAAGGUAAAUUAAAAUAAAAUUUAGUAAAUAGGAGUACUAUAUUUAAAAGUAUUACUCCAUCAUAAGUUGACUAACUAAUAAUAAUUGAAUUAAUCCGAAUAUUGUAGCUCAAUACUUCAUUUGUUCACCAAAAGAAUGAUAUUUUUAGUGGGCACGCAUGUUUAAUAGUAAAAAAAUUAAUAAAGGGAUAUAGUCAAUUCAUCCACGAAAAAGAGUCUCAUCCCUUUUUCUUGUCCACGAAAAAGAAUUUUAUUUUACUUUUUGAACCAUCACAUCUUACAUUUUCUCUUAUAUUUAAUUAUAAAUUAUACUUUUAUUCUAUUUUUUAACUAAUAAUGUACAUGUAUUUUAUUUGUUUGUACUAACACUACCUCUACAAAAUGUACCUUUAUUCCACUUACAAUAAGUUUAAUAAAUUUAUUAAAACUCGUGUCUACCCUCAAAUAUGACUAUUUUUUCGUGGACACAUGAAGUACUUAUUAGAAGAUAUUCAAGUAAUAAAGACCAUUAGCGUUAAUAGAGAUAUUUAUUGUUCAAUCACUACCGUUUCCCUUCCUCAUCUGAAAAAUUUACAAAAUUAUGUGUAUUAGUGUACAUAGGGGUGGGAAUCGGGUCGGGUUUGGGUACCCUACCCGAAAAAAUUGGGUACCCGAACCCGAAAAUUGACCAAAACCCCUACCCGAUCCCGAACCCGAUUCUGAAAUCGGGUACCCUAAUACCCGAGUCGGGUAUCCGAUUCGGGUAUUCGGGUACCCAAAAUUACCCGAUUAAUGAUUGAAAUUAGACUCCUCAAAGUCAAAAAAAAAUUGAAGAGAAAUCCGCAAAAGAAAAAGGAAGAAGCAUACCUGCUGACUGGCGACUGCUGUGCUGUUUGAGCUCGGAGGCGGGGCGGUGGCCGGUGGAGGCCUGGAGUGCUAACUGCGACGUCGGCUGUGGGUGGGUUCGACGGGGACGGGGACUGGAACUGGAACUGGAACAGGGGGAGGCCGAGUGGUGGCGCAGGAGGGCGACGACGGGCAGAUGAAAGGCGCCGGCGCGCCACUGGGUGGGAGGCCGGAGGCGGGACGGGGAGGCAGGGAAUAGGGGCGGAUUCGGCUGAAGUUAGAGGCAGGGAAUAGGGUUUGGCCGUUUGGGUUUCAAACUUAAUUGAUUUAAACUUAAAAAAUUAAAUUUAAUUCAAUAAUUUAAAAUCGGGUAUUUCGGGUAUACCCGAUACCCGAUUUUUUUACACCCUAACUAUCCGAACCCGACCCCGACCCCUAAUUUUUCGGGUAUAAGGUACCCGAUACCCGAUUUUUUCGGGUCGGGUAUCGGGUACCCAAUUACCCGAUCCCGAAAUUCCCAGGCCUAAGUGUACAAAUAGAUAGAUAGAUUGGUUUUAGGAAUCAACAGCCAACACUAUAUAAGAUAAUUUUUGAAACCAUAAUUGGAUUAUAACUUGAAAUUUAAAGCUCAACUAUUAUUUCAAAUAAAGAGAACUUAAAGCCAAAAACUAUUACUCCCUCCGUCCCAGCUUUUAGUAUCCAACUUUUCUUUUUUGGCCGUCCCACAUUUUAGUAUCCACUUCUAUUUUUAGUAAAAGUAGGUGGGGCCCUUACUCCACUUUAAUUAGUAUUUUAACUCUCACAUAAAAUGUGGGACCCUUAUUCCACUCACAACACAUCAAUCACUUUAUUAAAACCCUUAUCGUUCUCAACUGGAUACCAAAAGCCGGGACGGAGGGAGUACUAUAUAAAAAAAAGGCCAAAUAAAAAGAAGCCCAGCCCUUUACGCAAACCAGCAACCAAUUUCUUAAAAAAAAUUACUUACAUUUAACAAAAACAAUACCUUUAAGUAACGCACAAAAAUAAUUAAACAAUAGGUAUAAAAUAGAGAGCAACCCUAAUGUCAAUUCUAAAAUCUAAAUCAGUGCCCCUUCUUUUCUUAUUUCUCAUCAGCGGCACUUCUUCUUAUUCCUUCAGCAGCAAUGUUUCUUCUUCCAUCUGCUUCUUUUUUCUGUAUUUAUUGAAUCUAACCAAAACAUCAAACCUGACACUAAAUUAUAGUUAUUUAUUUUUCUACAUGCGAAUUGAUGGGUUCUAUACCCCUCAGAUCAAGAUAGAUUGGGCUGGUGAGUGUGCUUAGGCUUGUAAUUCUCUCAUUCUUUCUUCGUCUCUGAAGUGAAAAGCUUGAGAAACAUAUUUCUUUUAUCCAGAUUCCAGGUUUUAUGCAGAGAUUUUUUUUUCAACAGCCAAGGAAAAGUUUACGUAAAAUGACAUAAAUGAUCUGAUAUUUAUACUAAUCAAUUUCUUGGAGCCAAAGUCUGUAUCUUCAUUUGUUUCGUGGAUAAUAUGAUAUUUAAAUGGGUAUUGACCAGUAGCAGAUUACACAAUAAAUAAAGGCCAAAACUCGUAGAAAUCAGUGUCUAUUAUCCAACAGAUAAAUAACUUAUAAGUUCACUGCAAAAACAAUUAUAGCAAUGGGGAAACUUUUGCAGCUGAAAACUUUGCUUAUAUAUAUAUGUAUAAGAUAUAGUAGAUAUAGAUAUAGAUAGAGAUAUAGAUUUCUAUCACUGAGGAUUAAAAUUCGUUACGAUAUGCUCCUUAUUGUUUCUUGUUUCUUGUUUCUUUCUGAUUGAUUUACAGCAUUGUGAAGGUGAGUAGAGGUGCUUCUAUAUAUGAAAUGGCUGCAGCUAGAAAAGGAUUAAUAGAAUCCCAAGCAGGUAAAUUAAAUUAAACAAACUCUAAUCGUUUUCUUCAAUUCAUAUUUUUGUCCCACUUGUUUAAUUUUGUUGUUAUUGUAGGAGGCAUCGUCCCCUAUUAAAAUCUGAACUCCAUCCUGGACAAAUUUUCACACUGGAUACGGUAAACUAACAGAAUUAAGCAGACGAUCGAGAUCAUCUAUUCUGAAUUAAUUAAUUCUGAAUUACAUAAAACUGCAGGAGAUUUUAGCCCGGAAAUCAGGCAAGAUAGCAAGGCAACUGCAGAAGAACCCGCACUACGACGAUCUCCGGCGCGACGUCAACACCGAUGAAGAAUCCAUGGAGCUACUUGCAAAAUUCUGCCAUGGCUAUGACAUCGACCUCUCACCGGAAAACGUGGUUGCCUUAGCCUGCGUAGCAAAAUCCCUCGACAUGACGGACACCCAUUGCCCCAACAAUCUGUUGAGCAAGACGGUGUCGUUUUUUGAAGAACACGUUAUGCAUAGCUGGGACAACUCCAUCAAAGCCAUCAAGUGCGCCGAGAGAGUGCUCAGGCAAGCGGAUGAGCUCGGCCUAUUGGACUGCUGCGUUGAGACGCUCAUCUUGAAAGCGCUCGAGGAUCCGCGUCUAUUGGGGGAGCCUUUGAUGAGGAACGAUGAUGAAGAUGAAGUUGAAGAUAAUUAUAUUAGGCCUAACACUAGGAGGAAACUCUUCGUGGUGGAAUGGAAAUACGAAGAUCUCACCACUCUCCCUUUGAAGCUUUAUGCGUCGAUCCUCAGAGCCAUGAUCCAGCGCCAAGUGCCGCCACAAUUUGUGGCGGCGAAUCUAUUCCGAUACGCCAAGAAUUGGAUACUGUGCAAGGAGGAGGUGAGAGGUGAGAGAGAGACGAUUGAGAUUUUGGUGAGGCUGAUUCCUCAGCAAACAGGGCUGCUUCCGUGCUCGUUUCUGUGUGAAAUGCUUCGUUUGGCCAUUGUUGUUGAAGCUGAUGCGGAGUGCAGAAACGCGUUGGAGCUGAGGAUCGGGANAAGUAUCAAUUUAGCCCCCUAAUGUAGAGGCCCCUGUAGCCAAUACAACCCUAUGCGCAGGGGUGUCUCAACUAAACCCCUAAGGUCCAUGUUUUGCGUCAAGUAGACCUCUCCGUCUAACGGAGAGUUAACACCGUUAACUAUUGUUAUUCUUUUUAUUUUUUUAUUUUGUUGGUGGUGGGACCCACACCUUCUUCACCACCAAACUCGCCGGAAACCUAAUCCUAUCCUUGUCAGCCCACUUCUCCUUCCCCGUCGAACGUCACCAGUGGCCUUUAGCACCACGACUCACGAACUAAGUCCACCCGAAACUCCGGCCUGUGCCCGAACCUCGAAUCGGAACCAUUGUAAAUCCCCAAAAGGCGAGGGCAGCAGACCAAUACAAAGUUGAGAAGUCCAACCCCCAGAUGAGGCCGGCUCUAGCCAUUUGGAUUUUGAUCGGAUGCCUUGCCCAACCCUCACAACCGCCGGUAAGAAGAAGAAAUUGUAGAAGCCCUUAUUUCAAAUGCAACCCCAAUGGACCUUUUUUCCCUUUGUGUUUAACAGCAACAGAAAACUCAAGAGUGGCUUCCUUGGCCGGCGACGUGAUUUUUCGAAACAGAAAUGGAGAUCGGUGAUAAUAAAAAGGAAUUUUUAGCCUCAACAUAGAUCGAGAGAGGGGAAUUGCUCUGAACUUUCCCCCUUUUUAGCCUGAUUUCUGGCGAUUCCCGCUCCGGUAAGGUAGAUUGGCCCGCCGAAAAUGAGUUUCAGAGAGAAAAGGGCGGUGAAGUGCCAUUGAGCAGCCGGUCGCGGCAGAGCAACAACGAGAUCGAGUCGAGAUUCGUGGGGGAUUGCUUGUUGAUCUGGCAAUGACGGCGAAUGGUCGAACGGUAGUGAUGAGGCCCGAUUUCUAUGGUUCACUGGAGAUGAUGAUAGAUCUGGUUUUCUUGACUAAUUUUAAUGGUGGGCCCCACAAAAAAAAAAAACCCAAAAAAAAUUAAAUUACAAACGGAGUUUACGCUCCGUUAGAGUGAGGGGCCAAUUUGACGAAAAUUAUAGACUAUAGGGGUUUAGUUGACACACCCCUGCCCAUAGGGUGUUAAUAGCUACAGGGGCCUCUACGUUAGAGGCCAAAUUGAUACUUAACCCUAUAAAAAAUUACUUACAUUUAACAAAAACAAUACCUUUAAGUAACGCACAAAAAUAAUUAAACAAUAGGUAUAAAAUAGAGAGCAACCCUAAUGUCAAUUCUAAAAUCUAAAUCAGUGCCCCUUCUUUUCUUAUUUCUCAUCAGCGGCACUUCUUCUUAUUCCUUCAGCAGCAAUGUUUCUUCUUCCAUCUGCUUCUUUUUUCUGUAUUUAUUGAAUCUAACCAAAACAUCAAACCUGACACUAAAUUAUAGUUAUUUAUUUUUCUACAUGCGAAUUGAUGGGUUUUAUACCCCUCAGAUCAAGAUAGAUUGGGCUGGUGAGUGUGCUUAGGCUUGUAAUUCUCUCAUUCUUGCGCUCCCCUCUUUCUUCGUCUCUGAAGUGAAAAGCUUGAGAAACAUAUUUCUUUUAUCCAGAUUCCAGGUUUUAUGCAGAGAUUUUUUUUUUCAACAGCCAAGGAAAAGUUUACGUAAAAUGACAUAAAUGAUCUGAUAUUUAUACUAAUCAAUUUCUUGGAGCCAAAGUCUGUAUCUUCAUUUGUUUCAUGGAUAAUAUGAUAUUUAAAUGGGUAUUGACCAGUAGCAGAUUACACAAUAAAUAAAGGCCAAAACUCGUAGAAAUCAGUGUCUAUUAUCCAACAGAUAAAUAACUUAUAAUGUUCACUGCAUAAAACAAUUAUAGCAAUGGGGAAACUUUUGCAGCUGAAAACUUUGCUUAUAUAUAUAUGUAUAUAGAUAUAGGUAGAUAUACUGAUAUAGAUAUAGAUAUAGAUUUCUAUCACUGAGGAUUAAAAUUCGUUACGAUAUGCUCCUUAUUGUUUCUUGUUUCUUUCUGAUUGAUUUACAGCAUUGUGAAGGUGAGUAGAGGUGCUUCUAUAUAUGAAAUGGCUGCAGCUAGAAAAGGAUUAAUAGAACUCCCAAGCAGGUAAAUUAAAUUAAACAAACUCUAAUCGUUUUCUUCAAUUCAUAUUUUUGUCCCACUUGUUUAAUUUUGUUGUUAUUGUAGGAGGCAUCGUCCCCUAUUAAAAUCUGAACUCCAUCCUGGACAAAUUUUCACACUGGAUACGGUAAACUAACAGAAGCAGACGAUCGAGAUCAUCUAUUCUGAAUUAAUUAAUUCUGAAUUACAUAAAACUGCAGGAGAUUUUAGCCCGGAAAUCAGGCAAGAUAGCAAGGCAACUGCAGAAGAACCCGCACUACGACGAUCUCUGGCGCGACGUCAACACCGAUGAAGAAUCCAUGGAGCUACUUGCAAAAUUCUGCCAUGGCUAUGACAUCGACCUCUCACCGGAAAACGUGGUUCCCUUAGCUUGCGUAGCAAAAUCCCUCGACAUGACGGACACCCAUUGCCCCAACAAUCUGUUGAGCAAGACGGUGUCGUUUUUCGAAGAACACGUUAUGCAUAGCUGGGACAACUCCAUCAAAGCCAUCAAGUGCGCCGAGAGAGUGCUCAGGCAAGCGGAUGAG